AGCGGAAAGUACCAGUAAAAUGGUUUUUAAAAAGGAGCUCGUCGGGCUCAUAACCCGAAGGUCACAGGUUCGAGUCCUGUUCCCGCUA
RNAcentral lists this transfer RNA (88 nucleotides) under Aestuariibaculum sediminum. RNAcentral describes it as "Aestuariibaculum sp. TT11 tRNA-Met". The stretch from base 14 to 88 matches the Rfam family "tRNA". Rfam says of the family: Transfer RNA (tRNA) molecules are approximately 80 nucleotides in length. Their secondary structure includes four short double-helical elements and three loops (D, anti-codon, and T loops). The record is from RNAcentral. Lineage: Bacteria; Pseudomonadati; Bacteroidota; Flavobacteriia; Flavobacteriales; Flavobacteriaceae.